Molecule: ribosomal RNA, 255 nt
Filed under: uncultured bacterium
Lineage: Bacteria
Description: partial 16S ribosomal RNA
Rfam family: Bacterial small subunit ribosomal RNA
Source: RNAcentral
UACAGGGGAUGCAAGUGUUAUCCGGAAUUAUUGGGCGUAAAGCGUCUGCAGGUGGAUAAACAAGUCUUUUGUUAAAUAUUUAAGCUCAACUUAAAGUCUGCAAAAGAAACUAUUAUUUUCUAGAGUAUGGUAGAGGUAAAGGGAAUUUCCAGUGGAGUGGUAAAAUACUUAGAUAUUGGAAAGAACACCAAAAGCGAAAGCACUUUGCUGGGCUAGUACUGACACUAAGAGACGAAAGCUAGGGGAGCAAACGGG